Molecule: ribosomal RNA, 508 nt
Filed under: Hypsugo savii (Savi's pipistrelle)
Lineage: Eukaryota; Metazoa; Chordata; Mammalia; Chiroptera; Vespertilionidae
Description: partial 16S ribosomal RNA
Rfam family: Bacterial large subunit ribosomal RNA
Source: RNAcentral
GAGGCACCGCCUGCCCAGUGACUUCUGUUUAACGGCCGCGGUAUCCUGACCGUGCAAAGGUAGCAUAAUCAUUUGUUCUCUAAAUAAGGACUUGUAUGAAUGGCUCCACGAGGGUUUUGCUGUCUCUUAUUUUCAAUCAGUGAAAUUGACAUUCCCGUGAAGAGGCGGGAAUAAAAAAAUAAGACGAGAAGACCCUAUGGAGCUUUAACUAAUUAACUCAUAAACCCUUAUUCAUUCUCUAUAAGAAAUAAGCCACUUUUAAUUGAGUUAACAGUUUAGGUUGGGGUGACCUCGGAAUAAAAAUUAACUUCCGAGAAAAACUAUUGAGACCCACAAGUCAAAAUUAAUAUACUACACACUGAUCCGCCAUUGACGAUCAACGAAACAAGUUACCCUAGGGAUAACAGCGCAAUCCUAUUUAAGAGUUCAUAUCGACAAUUAAGGGUUUACGACCUCGAUGUUGGAUCAGGACAUCCCAAUGGUGCAGCAGCUAUUAAUGCGUUCGUUU